Molecule: ribosomal RNA, 490 nt
Filed under: uncultured bacterium
Lineage: Bacteria
Description: partial 16S ribosomal RNA
Rfam family: Bacterial small subunit ribosomal RNA
Source: RNAcentral
AUUGAACGCUGGCGGCAGGCCUAACACAUGCAAGUCGAACGGUAACAGGAAGAAGCUUGCUUCUUUGCUGACGAGUGGCGGACGGGUGAGUAAUGUCUGGGAAACUGCCUGAUGGAGGGGGAUAACUACUGGAAACGGUAGCUAAUACCGCAUAACGUCGCAAGACCAAAGAGGGGGACCUUCGGGCCUCUUGCCAUCGGAUGUGCCCAGAUGGGAUUAGCUAGUAGGGGGGGUAACGGCUCACCUAGGCGACGAUCCCUAGCUGGUCUGAGAGGAUGACCAGCCACACUGGAACUGAGACACGGUCCAGACUCCUACGGGAGGCAGCAGUGGGGAAUAUUGCACAAUGGGCGCAAGCCUGAUGCAGCCAUGCCGCGUGUAUGAAGAAGGCCUUCGGGUUGUAAAGUACUUUCAGCGGGGAGGAAGGGAGUAAAGUUAAUACCCUUGCUCAUUGACGUUACCCGCAGAAGAAGCACCGGCUAACUCCGUG